RNAcentral lists this ribosomal RNA (505 nucleotides) under uncultured bacterium. RNAcentral's name for it is "partial 16S ribosomal RNA". It matches the Rfam family "Bacterial small subunit ribosomal RNA", at positions 28 to 507 of the family's 1533-position model. The record is from RNAcentral.
GACGAACGCUGGCGGCGUGCCUAAUACAUGCAAGUCGAACGCACAGUUUAUACCGUAGCUUGCUACACCAUAGACUGUGAGUUGCGAACGGGUGAGUAACGCGUAGGUAACCUGCCUGGUAGCGGGGGAUAACUAUUGGAAACGAUAGCUAAUACCGCAUAAUAUUAAUUAUUGCAUGAUAAUUAAUUGAAAGGUGCAAUUGCACCACUACCAGAUGGACCUGCGUUGUAUUAGCUAGUAGGUGAGGUAACGGCUCACCUAGGCGACGAUACAUAGCCGACCUGAGAGGGUGAUCGGCCACCCUGGGACUGAGACACGGCCCAGACUCCUACGGGAGGCAGCAGUAGGGAAUCUUCGGCAAUGGACGAAAGUCUGACCGAGCAACGCCGCGUGAGUGAAGAAGGUUUUCGGAUCGUAAAGCUCUGUUGUAAGAGAAGAACGGGUGUGAGAGUGGAAAGUUCACACUGUGACGGUAUCUUACCAGAAAGAGACGGCUAACUACGUG